Long non-coding RNA from Pezoporus flaviventris, 206 nucleotides. RefSeq lists it as uncharacterized. Lineage: Eukaryota; Metazoa; Chordata; Aves; Psittaciformes; Psittacidae. The record is from RefSeq and is a predicted model, not a curated record. The transcript has 2 exons.
AGAUCUGCCCUGUACAGGAAUUUCAGAUGUGGAAAGAAAAGAUCUCCUCACGAUGAUACCAUACCCACUGCGUGCCUUGAAAAACAAUAAAUAGUGCUGGGACACUGCUCAGAUAUUGGAGAUUCUGUACACACAGAGAAGUUGCUUUGGGGUCUGAAAGUGUUUAUCCUGCCAAAAAUAAAUGCUCUAAAAAUGAUCAGUUAGCA